UCGUAGCUCAGCAGGUAGAGCAGCGGACUGAAAAUCCGCGUGUCGUUGGUUCGACUCCGACCGA
RNAcentral lists this transfer RNA (64 nucleotides) under human gut metagenome. It matches the Rfam family "tRNA", at positions 5 to 66 of the family's 71-position model. Rfam says of the family: Transfer RNA (tRNA) molecules are approximately 80 nucleotides in length. Their secondary structure includes four short double-helical elements and three loops (D, anti-codon, and T loops). The record is from RNAcentral.